This 254-nucleotide ribosomal RNA is filed under the name uncultured bacterium. RNAcentral's name for it is "partial 16S ribosomal RNA". It matches the Rfam family "Bacterial small subunit ribosomal RNA", at positions 524 to 776 of the family's 1533-position model. The record is from RNAcentral.
UACGGGGGGAGCAAGCGUUGUUCGGAUUUACUGGGCGUAAAGGGCGCGUAGGCGGUCGUGACAAGUCACUUGUGAAAUCUCCGGGCUUAACUCGGAACGGCCAAGUGAAACUGUCAUGCUAGAGUGCAGAAGGGGCAAUCGGAAUUCUUGGUGUAGCGGUGAAAUGCGUAGAUAUCAAGAGGAACACCUGAGGUGAAGACGGGUUGCUGGGCUGACACUGACGCUGAGGCGCGAAAGCCAGGGGAGCAAACGGG